GGCUCAGGACGAACGCUGGCGGCGUGCUUAACACAUGCAAGUCGAACGAGAUCCAUCCAGUAGCAAUACUGGUGAAGAUCUAGUGGCGAACGGGUGCGUAACACGUGAGGAACUUGUCCCGGUCUCUGGGAUAACAGUUGGAAACGACUGCUAAUACCGGAUGACGUCGGAGUGUCGCAUGGCACGCUGACGAAAGGGUUACCGGAUCGGGAGAGCCUCGCGGCCUAUCAGCUUGUUGGUGGGGUAAUGGCCUACCAAGGCAUCGACGGGUAGCUGGUCUGAGAGGAUGAUCAGCCACACUGGGACUGAGACACGGCCCAGACUCCUACGGGAGGCAGCAGUGGGGAAUCUUGCACAAUGGGCGAAAGCCUGAUGCAGCAACGCCGCGUGCGGGAAGAAGGCCCUCGGGUUGUAAACCGCUUUCAGAAGGAACGAAACUGACGGUACUUUCAGAAGAAGGUGCGGCCAACUACGUGCCAGCAGCCGCGGUGACACGUAGGCACCAAGCGUUGUCCGGAUUUAUUGGGCGUAAAGAGCUCGUAGGCGGUUCAGUAAGUCGGUUGUGAAAACUUUGGGCUUAACCCAAAGCGUGCGUCCGAUACUGCUGUGACUUGAGUUCGGUAGGGGAGUGGGGAAUUCCUAGUGUAGCGGUGAAAUGCGCAGAUAUUAGGAGGAACACCGGUGGCGAAGGCGCCACUCUGGGCCGAAACUGACGCUGAGGAGCGAAAGCAUGGGUAGCAAACAGGAUUAGAUACCCUGGUAGCCCAUGCCGUAAACGUUGGGCACUAGGUGUGGGUUCCAACCAACGGAAUCCGCGCCGUCGCUAACGCAUUAAGUGCCCCGCCUGGGGAGUACG
This 856-nucleotide ribosomal RNA is filed under the name uncultured bacterium. RNAcentral describes it as "bacterial SSU rRNA". It matches the Rfam family "Bacterial small subunit ribosomal RNA", at positions 21 to 884 of the family's 1533-position model. The record is from RNAcentral.